CCCAGGACACACCGACCAACAGGUGUUACCAUCCGGGCACGGACACAGUUAGACGUGGCGGAGAGAAGAGCAGAAUCAACUCUGCUCAAGGACAUCUGAAAAGAGAGGGGGAAGACCCGUUCCUUCUCCUGACUCACCAGUCAGCAAUCUUCUCUACAGUGGUCCUCAAAGUUGUGGUCUUGGAGCAGCUGGGGCAUCACCGGUGACCUUGCUGGGAAUGCAGAAUCUCAGACCCCGCCCCCAGCUAGUCAACCAGAAACCGUGGAUUGGGCCAGCAGUCGUGCCUCAACAGAACCUUCCGGUUCCCAACUAAACAAAAAUAAGAUUUCUCUGUACCUACGAUUGGGAGCAACAAGCAGUAAAGAAAGCUUGACCCCGCUUUUGUGGAGCAGAAGACAAGCACAUGCUUGGGGUCAGAGCCCUGAGAGAUUGCCUGUUGCGUGAGCAAAUCCCUAGGCUGGAGCCACGGUCCUGUGGGAUUGCUGGGCUGACUCGACACUGCACCUGUGCAGUUGAACUUGGCUGAGCGAAGCAGCAGCGGGGGUGAUGAUGCUUGCUGCCAAGACUCAAGAGAGUUUUGACUGGAAAGAAGGGAGGCCGGCCACCCAGGGAGAAGGUGGACCCUUGUGCAAAGACCAACUCUGAGGUUUCUGCCUGGCCCAGACAUUUGUAAAGAGAGAGAGGGAGAGAGAGCAAGCACAGACGGA
Molecule: long non-coding RNA, 707 nt
Organism: Neogale vison (American mink)
Lineage: Eukaryota; Metazoa; Chordata; Mammalia; Carnivora; Mustelidae
Exons: 6
Source: RefSeq, a predicted model, not a curated record